Molecule: ribosomal RNA, 425 nt
Filed under: uncultured bacterium
Lineage: Bacteria
Description: partial 16S ribosomal RNA
Rfam family: Bacterial small subunit ribosomal RNA
Source: RNAcentral
GUGGGGAAUAUUGGACAAUGGGCGAAAGCCUGAUCCAGCAAUGCCGCGUGAGUGAAGAAGGCCUUAGGGUUGUAAAGCUCUUUUACCCGGGAUGAUAAUGACAGUACCGGGAGAAUAAGCUCCGGCUAACUCCGUGCCAGCAGCCGCGGUAAUACGGAGGGAGCUAGCGUUGUUCGGAAUCACUGGGCGUAAAGCGCACGUAGGCGGCUUUGUAAGUUAGAGGUGAAAGCCCGGGGCUCAACUCCGGAACUGCCUUUAAGACUGCAUCGCUUGAAUCUGGGAGAGGUAAGUGGAAUUCCGAGUGUAGAGGUGAAAUUCGUAGAUAUUCGGAAGAACACCAGUGGCGAAGGCGGCUUACUGGACCAGAAUUGACGCUGAGGUGCGAAAGCGUGGGGAGCAAACAGGAUUAGAUACCCCAGUAGUCC